UACGGGGGGAGCAAGCGUUGUUCGGAUUUACUGGGCGUAAAGGGCGCGUAGGCGGCCAGUGCAAGUCAGUUGUGAAAUCUCCGAGCUUAACUCGGAAAGGUCAACUGAUACUGCUCGGCUAGAGUGCGGAAGGGGCAACUGGAAUUCCUGGUGUAGCGGUGAAAUGCGCAGAUAUCAGGAGGAACACCGGUGGCGAAGGCGGGUCUCUGGGCCGAUAUUGACGCUGAGGAGCGAAAGCGUGGGGAGCGAACAGG
RNAcentral lists this ribosomal RNA (254 nucleotides) under uncultured bacterium. RNAcentral's name for it is "partial 16S ribosomal RNA". It matches the Rfam family "Bacterial small subunit ribosomal RNA", at positions 524 to 776 of the family's 1533-position model. The record is from RNAcentral.